UUGCUGCGAUUCGCAAUUUCCCAUAUUGGUAAACCAAGGUUUUAUUUUAAAACUUAUAUUAUUUAUAAAAAUAAUUUCAAGAUUAUUUAGCGAACUGAAACAUCUCAGUAACUAAAAAAUAAAUCAACCGAGAUAGUGUUAGUAGUGGCGAGCGAACGCGUUGAUAAGCUAAAAAUUCAAAUUUUUUAACUUAAUUUUUGCAAAGUCAUAGAAGGUAAAAACCCUGUAAAGUUAAUAUUUAAAUUUAAAUUUUGAUAAAAGUAAAUUUGUUCAAGUCGUGAGCUGAUUGAAAAUUGGGAGACCACUCUCAAAGCUUAAAAGUUUUAAUGUUUGAUAGUGAACAAGUACUGUGAAGGAAAGGUGAAAAAGAAUUAAAGAAAUUGAAAAGAUAAAUGAAAUUUAAUGUUAACAAGCAGCCGUAGCUUAAAAAAGUGACGUCGUACCUUUUGUAUAAGUGAUCAACAAGUUUAUUUUAGUAGCGAGCUUAAGUAAAAAUUUAUGCAGGCGAAAAAAAAUUAAAUUUUAAAAUGUGUAAAGUUUCUAAAAUUAGACCCGAAACUAAGUGAUCUAACUAUGAGCAGGUUGAAUUUAACGUAGCAAUACUUAUUGAAGGACCGAACCCGUGUAUGCAAAUAAUACUGGGAUGACUUGUAGUUAGGGGUGAAAGGCCAAACAAACUUAGAGAUAGCUGGUUUUCUGCGAAAUCUAUUUAAGUAGAGCGUUUAAAAAUUCUUUAAUUUGAGGUAGAGCUCUCGAUAAGUAAAGGGGAUUUAUAAUCUUACUAAGUUUAUUGAAACUUCAAAUACAAAUUAAAUGGUUUUAAGCAGUCAGACUAUAGGUGCUAAGAUCUAUAGUCAAAAGGGAAACAGCCCAGACUAAUAGUUAAGGUUCUCAAAAGUAAUUAAGUGAAAAAAAUGUAAAAUAAUGUUGACAACCUAUAGGUAGGAUUAGAAGCAGCCAUCCUUAAAAAAAAGCGUAACAGCUUAUUGGUCUAGUUUUUUUGCGUUAAAAAUGUAAGGGAUCUAAAAUUACUUACCGAAACUGUAGAUUAAACUGUUUGCGUUUAAUGGUAGCAGAACGUCCUGUAAAUUAAAGAAAAAUUAUGGUUACAUAGUUUGGAAAAAUCAGGAGCGAUAAUGUUGAUAUAAGUAACGAUAAACAAUGUGUAAAACAUUGUCGUCUUAAGUCCUAGGUUUCCAAAACAAAGCUAAUCCGUUUUGGUAAAAGUUAAUCGGUCUCUAAGAAAAAAGCGAAAGCUUUAUAAUUGAUGAGUGUAAAAUGUAAUUUUUUAAUUGGUAUGAUGUGACAAAAUAAGAAUAUAAUUUUUAUUCAAUGGGUUAAAUAAAAGUUGUAUAUUAUUUUCAGGAAACAGCUAUACUAUUUUUAAACCGUACUUAAACCAACAAAGGUGGACAAAUUUAGUAAAUUAAGACGCUUGAGAUAAUUAUGGUGAAGGAACUCGGCAAAAUGACUCCGUAACUUCGGGAAAAGGAGUGGCUUUCUUAGGGCAACCUAUUAAAGCUGUCACAAAAUCGGGGAUAGCGACUGUUUAUUAAAAAGUGCGACAAGAGCUAAUUUGUAAAAAGACGUAUUGAGACUGACGCCUGCCCAGUGCUGCAAGAUUAAAAAGCGAAGUUUAUGUGCUUUGAUUAUAACUCCCAGUAAACGGCGGCUGUAACUCUGACGGUCCUAAGGUAGCGAAAUUCCUUGGCAUUUAAUUGAUGUCCCGCAUGAAUGGCGUAACGACUGUCCUACUGUCUCCACCAUAAUCUCAGUGAAAUUGAAUUCUCCGUGAAGAUGCGGAGUACCUACGGCUAGACGGAAAGACCCCGACACCUUUACUAUAGUUAUGCAUUGUUGUAAAAAUUUUAUCGUGUAGAAUAAGUGGAAGUUGAGCAAAACAAUUAAAUUGUUUAUAAGUAUGUUUUGGCGCAAGCAAACUGCAUAAACGUAAAUGAAAUACCACUCUUUAAAUUUUUUAUAACUAAAUUGAAUUGAAAAACCGUGUAUAGUGGGUAGUUUGACUGGGGCGGUCGCCUCCUAAAGAGUAACGGAGGCACGUAAAAGGUAAACUUGAGUUGAUUUAAAACCAAUUUGUAAGCGUAAUAGUUUAUGUUUGCUUGACUGUAAGAUUGAUAAAUCAAACAGGGACGAAAGUCGGUUAUAGUGAUCCGAUAACUCUAUGUGGAAAUGGUUAUCGCUCAAUGGAUAAAAGGUACGUCGGGGAUAACAGGCUAAUCAUUCUCUAGAGACCAUAUCGACGGAAUGGUUUGGCACCUCGAUGUUGGAUUAUCGCAUCCUGGAGCUGUAAGUGGUUCCAAGGGUUUAGCUGUUCGCUAAUGAAGGCGGUACAUGAUCUGAGUUUAGAACGUCGUGAGACAGUUUGGUCCCGUGCGAAGUGUUGUAUUUAUCUACCGUAGGUGUUAAAAACUGAAAAGAGUAGACCCUAGUACGAGAGGACCGGGAAAAGCGAAUCUCUGGUGAGUCGAUUGUUAUACCAAUAGCAUUGUCGAGUAGCUAAAUUCGUAAUAAAUAAUCGCUGAAAGCAUUUAAGUGAGAAAUUAGCUUUGAGACAAGUUUUUGUUGUUAAUGUAAUAGAUUAUUGCAUAGAUAGGUUUAAAAGUGCAAGAAUUGUAAAAUUUUUAGCUGAUAGAUACUAAACUAAAAAAUUUUACUAUUAAAAUUU
Molecule: ribosomal RNA, 2686 nt
Filed under: Proschkinia sp. SZCZR1824
Lineage: Eukaryota; Bacillariophyta; Bacillariophyceae; Naviculales; Stauroneidaceae
Description: 23S ribosomal RNA
Rfam family: Bacterial large subunit ribosomal RNA
Source: RNAcentral